This 86-nucleotide transfer RNA is filed under the name Paludibacter jiangxiensis. RNAcentral's name for it is "tRNA-Tyr". It matches the Rfam family "tRNA". From Rfam's summary of the family: Transfer RNA (tRNA) molecules are approximately 80 nucleotides in length. The record is from RNAcentral. Lineage: Bacteria; Pseudomonadati; Bacteroidota; Bacteroidia; Bacteroidales; Paludibacteraceae.
GGGCAGUUACCAGAGUGGCCAAAUGGGGCAGACUGUAAAUCUGCUAGCUUACGCUUACGGUGGUUCGAAUCCAUCACUGCCCACCU